CCCGCGACAAGCAGCGGAGCGUGUGGUUAAUUCGAUGAUACGCGAAGAACCUUACCUGGUCUUGACAUGCACGUGGUACUGAUUCGAAAGAUGAGGGACCCUUCGGGGAGCGUGCACAGGUGUUGCACGGCCGUCGUCAGCUCGUGCCGUGAGGUGUUGGGUUUAAGUCUCGCAACGAGCGCAACCCCCGUCGCCAGUUGUAUUUUUCUGGCGAGACUGCCGGGAAAUCCCCGGAGGAAGGAGGGGAUGAUGUCAGGUCAGCGUGGCCCUUACGACCAGGGCUACACACACGCUACAAUGGGUGGUACAGAGGUCGCGAAGCCGCGAGGUGGAGCUAAGUCCCACAAAGCCAUCCUCAGUUCGGAUUGCAGGCUGAAACUCGCCUGCAUGAAGCCGGAGUUGCUAGUAACCGCAGGUCAGCACUACUGCGGUGAAUACGUUCCCGGGCCUU
This 451-nucleotide ribosomal RNA is filed under the name uncultured Chloroflexota bacterium. Its description in RNAcentral is "bacterial SSU rRNA". It matches the Rfam family "Bacterial small subunit ribosomal RNA", at positions 920 to 1382 of the family's 1533-position model. Lineage: Bacteria; Bacillati; Chloroflexota. The record is from RNAcentral.